GACGAACGCUGGCGGCGUGCUUAACACAUGCAAGUCGAACGCUGAAGCUUGGUGCUUGCACUGGGUGGAUGAGUGGCGAACGGGUGAGUAAUACGUGAGUAACCUGCCCUUGACUCUGGGAUAAGCCUGGGAAACUGGGUCUAAUACUGGAUACGACAUUCCACUGCAUGGUGGUGUGUGGAAAGGGUUUUACUGGUUUUGGAUGGGCUCACGGCCUAUCAGCUUGUUGGUGGGGUAAUGGCCUACCAAGGCGACGACGGGUAGCCGGCCUGAGAGGGUGACCGGCCACACUGGGACUGAGACACGGACCAGACUCCUACGGGAGGCAGCAGUGGGGAAUAUUGCACAAUGGGCGGAAGCCUGAUGCAGCGACGCCGCGUGAGGGAUGACGGCCUUCGGGUUGUAAACCUCUUUCAGCACGGAAGAAGCGAGAGUGACGGUACGUGCAGAAGAAGCGCCGGCUAACUACGUG
This 472-nucleotide ribosomal RNA is filed under the name uncultured bacterium. RNAcentral's name for it is "partial 16S ribosomal RNA". It matches the Rfam family "Bacterial small subunit ribosomal RNA", at positions 28 to 507 of the family's 1533-position model. The record is from RNAcentral.